GAUGAACGCUAGCUACAGGCUUAACACAUGCCAGUCGCGGGGCAGCAUGGGGGUUGCUUGCAAUCCCCGAUGGCGACCGGCGCACGGGUGAGUAACGCGUAUUCAACCUGCCCUUCACCACGGGAUAACCCGGCGAAAGUCGGACUAAUACCGUAUGUUGUCCAUUGACGGCAUCCGAUUUGGACGAAAGGCUUGGCGGUGAGGGAUGGGGAUGCGUCCGAUUAGCCAGACGGCGGGGUAACGGCCCACCGUGGCUACGAUCGGUAGGGGUUCUGAGAGGAAGGUCCCCCACACUGGAACUGAGACACGGUCCAGACUCCUACGGGAGGCAGCAGUGAGGAAUAUUGGUCAAUGGGCGUAAGCCUGAACCAGCCAAGUAGCGUGCAGGAUGACGGCCCUAUGGGUUGUAAACUGCUUUUAUGCGGGGAUAAAGUGGCCCACGUGUGGGCUUUUGCAGGUACCGAAUGAAUAAGGACCGGCUAAUUCCGUG
RNAcentral lists this ribosomal RNA (490 nucleotides) under uncultured bacterium. Its description in RNAcentral is "partial 16S ribosomal RNA". It matches the Rfam family "Bacterial small subunit ribosomal RNA", at positions 28 to 507 of the family's 1533-position model. The record is from RNAcentral.